This 425-nucleotide ribosomal RNA is filed under the name uncultured bacterium. RNAcentral describes it as "bacterial SSU rRNA". It matches the Rfam family "Bacterial small subunit ribosomal RNA", at positions 354 to 796 of the family's 1533-position model. The record is from RNAcentral.
GUGGGGGAUAUUGCACAAUGGGCGAAAGCCUGAUGCAGCGACGCCGCGUGAAGGAUGAAGUAUUUCGGUAUGUAAACUUCUAUCAGCAGGGAAGAAAAUGACGGUACCUGACUAAGAAGCCCUGGCUAAAUACGUGCCAGCAGCCGCGGUAAUACGUAUGGGGCAAGCGUUAUCCGGAUUUACUGGGCGUAAAGGGAGCGUAGGCGGCAUGGCAAGUUGGGUGUGAAAUACUGAGGCUUAACCUCGGGGCUGCACCCAAAACUGUCAAGCUAGAGUGUCGGAGAGGUAAGCGGAAUUCCUGGUGUAGUGGUGAAAUGCGUAGAUAUUAGGAGGAACAUCGGUGGCGAAGGCGGCUUACUGGACGAUAACUGACGCUGAGGCUCGAAAGCGUGGGGAGCAAACAGGAUUAGAUACCCUAGUAGUCC